RNAcentral lists this microRNA precursor (164 nucleotides) under Oryza brachyantha (malo sina). Its description in RNAcentral is "MIR812 microRNA precursor family". It matches the Rfam family "MIR812 microRNA precursor family", at positions 27 to 187 of the family's 205-position model. Lineage: Eukaryota; Viridiplantae; Streptophyta; Magnoliopsida; Poales; Poaceae. The record is from Rfam by way of RNAcentral.
UAUAAUAUUUUGACUUUCGUCUUAUUUGAAAUUAUUUUAUGAUUAAUAUUUUUAUUCUUAUUGGAUGAUAAAAACAUGAAUAGUACUUUAUGUGUGAUUAAUUUUUUAAAUUUUUUAUAUAAAUUUUUUAAAUAAGACGAAUAGUUAAACGUUGGACACGGAAA